GACGAACGCUGGCGGCGUGCUUAACACAUGCAAGUCGAACGGAAAGGCCCCUUUGGGGGUACUCGAGUGGCGAACGGGUGAGUAACACGUGAGUAACCUGCCCUUGACUUCGGGAUAACUUCAGGAAACUGGGGCUAAUACCGGAUAGGAAUCCUUGCUGCAUGGUGGGGGUUGGAAAGCUUCGGCGGUUUUGGAUGGACUCGCGGCUUAUCAGCUUGUUGGUGGGGUAGUGGCUUACCAAGGCUUUGACGGGUAGCCGGCCUGAGAGGGCGACCGGCCACAUUGGGACUGAGAUACGGCCCAGACUCCUACGGGAGGCAGCAGUGGGGAAUAUUGCACAAUGGGCGGAAGCCUGAUGCAGCAACGCCGCGUGCGGGAUGACGGCCUUCGGGUUGUAAACCGCUUUCAGCAGGGGCGAAGCUUUUGGGACGGUACCUGCAGAAGAAGCACCGGCUAACUACGG
RNAcentral lists this ribosomal RNA (463 nucleotides) under uncultured bacterium. Its description in RNAcentral is "partial 16S ribosomal RNA". It matches the Rfam family "Bacterial small subunit ribosomal RNA", at positions 28 to 506 of the family's 1533-position model. The record is from RNAcentral.